Molecule: ribosomal RNA, 253 nt
Filed under: uncultured bacterium
Lineage: Bacteria
Description: partial 16S ribosomal RNA
Rfam family: Bacterial small subunit ribosomal RNA
Source: RNAcentral
GACGAACCGUGCGAACGUUGUUCGGAAUCACUGGGCUUAAAGGGCGCGUAGGCGGGUCGGUAAGCCCGCGGUGAAAUCCCCCCGCUCAACGGGGGAACGGCCGCGGGGACUGUCGGCCUCGAGGGGGGUAGGGGCGAGCGGAACGCUGGGUGGAGCGGUGAAAUGCGUUGAUAUCCAGCGGAACUCCGGUGGCGAAGGCGGCUCGCUGGACCUUCACUGACGCUGAGGCGCGAAAGCCAGGGGAGCGAACGGG